GGGAAGAGCCCAGCGCUGAAUCCCGCCGUUCUAGCGGACGGCCGGAAAAUGUAGCGUUCGGGAGUGGAUUUAACUCGCGGNNNCGGCGACCAGUCCAAGUUCAUCUUGAAAGGGGCCCCGCUUAUCCGUAGAGGGUGCCAGGCCCGUAGCGACGGUCGCCGGCCGCGAUGGUCCAUCUCCUCAGAGUCGGGUUGCUUGAGAGUGCAGCCCUAAGCUGGUGGUAAACUCC
RNAcentral lists this ribosomal RNA (229 nucleotides) under Potamyia flava. RNAcentral describes it as "partial 28S ribosomal RNA". It matches the Rfam family "Eukaryotic large subunit ribosomal RNA", at positions 100 to 307 of the family's 3401-position model. The record is from RNAcentral. Lineage: Eukaryota; Metazoa; Arthropoda; Insecta; Trichoptera; Hydropsychidae.